GGGGAUGUAGCUUAGUGGUAGAGCAUUUGCUUAGCAUGGGUGAGGCCCUGAGUUCAAUUCUCAGUACUACCA
RNAcentral lists this transfer RNA (72 nucleotides) under Heterocephalus glaber (naked mole-rat). It matches the Rfam family "tRNA". Rfam says of the family: Transfer RNA (tRNA) molecules are approximately 80 nucleotides in length. Their secondary structure includes four short double-helical elements and three loops (D, anti-codon, and T loops). Further hydrogen bonds mediate the characteristic L-shaped molecular structure. tRNAs have two regions of fundamental functional importance: the anti-codon, which is responsible for specific mRNA codon recognition, and the 3' end, to which the tRNAs corresponding amino acid is attached (by aminoacyl-tRNA synthetases). tRNAs cope with the degeneracy of the genetic code in two manners: having more than one tRNA (with a specific anti-codon) for a particular amino acid; and 'wobble' base-pairing, i.e. permitting non-standard base-pairing at the 3rd anti-codon position. Lineage: Eukaryota; Metazoa; Chordata; Mammalia; Rodentia; Bathyergidae. The record is from Rfam by way of RNAcentral.